RNAcentral lists this microRNA precursor (93 nucleotides) under Cicer arietinum (chickpea). Its description in RNAcentral is "mir-395 microRNA precursor family". It matches the Rfam family "mir-395 microRNA precursor family". From Rfam's summary of the family: mir-395 was identified in both Arabidopsis thaliana and Oryza sativa computationally and was later experimentally verified. mir-395 is thought to target mRNAs coding for ATP sulphurylases. The record is from Rfam by way of RNAcentral. Lineage: Eukaryota; Viridiplantae; Streptophyta; Magnoliopsida; Fabales; Fabaceae.
AUGUCUCUUGGAGUUCCUUUGAACGCUUCAUAUAUAUGAGGAAAAUUUUAAUCCUUUCUUUGAUGAAGUGUUUGGGGGAACUCUUAGGUUCAA